CCUACGGGAGGCAGCAGUGGGGAAUAUUGCACAAUGGGGGAAACCCUGAUGCAGCGACGCCGCGUGAGUGAAGAAGCGUUUCGGCGCGUAAAGCUCUGUCAGCGGGGAAGAAACACGGUUCGCGAGAGCCGCGGACGGUACCCGACCAAGAAGCCCUGGCUAACUACGUGCCAGCAGCCGCGGUAAUACGUAGGUGGCAAGCGUUAUCCGGAUUUACUGGGUGUAAAGGGCGUGUAGGCGGGACUGCAAGUCAGAUGUGAAAACCACGGGCUCAACCUGUGGCCUGCAUUUGAAACUGGCAGUCUCGAGUUGGAGAGAGGUAUGCGGAAUGCGCGGUGUAGCGGUGAAAUGCAUAGAUAUCGCGCAGAACUCCGAUUGCGAAGGCAGCAUGCCGGCUCCACACUGACGCUGAGGCACGAAAGCGUGGGUAUCGAACAGGAUUAGAUACCCUAGUAGUC
RNAcentral lists this ribosomal RNA (458 nucleotides) under uncultured bacterium. RNAcentral describes it as "partial 16S ribosomal RNA". It matches the Rfam family "Bacterial small subunit ribosomal RNA", at positions 338 to 795 of the family's 1533-position model. The record is from RNAcentral.